AUUGAACGCUGGCGGCAGGCCUAACACAUGCAAGUCGAGCGGAUGAAGGGAGCUUGCUCCUGGAUUCAGCGGCGGACGGGUGAGUAAUGCCUAGGAAUCUGCCUGGUAGUGGGGGAUAACGUCCGGAAACGGGCGCUAAUACCGCAUACGUCCUGAGGGAGAAAGUGGGGGAUCUUCGGACCUCACGCUAUCAGAUGAGCCUAGGUCGGAUUAGCUAGUUGGUGGGGUAAAGGCCUACCAAGGCGACGAUCCGUAACUGGUCUGAGAGGAUGAUCAGUCACACUGGAACUGAGACACGGUCCAGACUCCUACGGGAGGCAGCAGUGGGGAAUAUUGGACAGUGGGCGAAAGCCUGAUACAGCCAUGCCGCGUGUGUGAAGAAGGUCUUCGGAUUGUAAAGCACUUUAAGUUGGGAGGAAGGGCAGUAAGUUAAGACCUUGCUGUUUUGACGUUACCAACAUAAUAAGCACCGGCUAACUUCGU
RNAcentral lists this ribosomal RNA (483 nucleotides) under uncultured bacterium. Its description in RNAcentral is "partial 16S ribosomal RNA". It matches the Rfam family "Bacterial small subunit ribosomal RNA", at positions 30 to 506 of the family's 1533-position model. The record is from RNAcentral.